GAUGAACGCUGGCGGCGUGCCUAACACAUGCAAGUCGAACGAAGCACCUUACCUGAUUCUUCGGAUGAAAGUUUGGUGACUGAGUGGCGGGCGGGUGAGUAACGCGUGGGUAACCUGCCCUGUACAGGGGGAUAACAGCUGGAAACGGCUGCUAAUACCGCAUAAGCGCACGAGGAGACAUCUCCUUGUGUGAAAAACUCCGGUGGUACAGGAUGGGCCCGCGUCUGAUUAGCUGGCUGGCAGGGUAACGGCCUACCAAGGCAACGAUCAGUAGCCGGUCUGAGAGGAUGAACGGCCACAUUGGAACUGAGACACGGUCCAAACUCCUACGGGAGGCAGCAGUGGGGAAUAUUGCACAAUGGGGGAAACCCUGAUGCAGCAACGCCGCGUGAGUGAAGAAGUAUUUCGGUAUGUAAAGCUCUAUCAGCAGGGAAGAUAAUGACGGUACCUGACUAAGAAGCUCCGGCUAAAUACGUG
RNAcentral lists this ribosomal RNA (477 nucleotides) under uncultured bacterium. RNAcentral's name for it is "partial 16S ribosomal RNA". It matches the Rfam family "Bacterial small subunit ribosomal RNA", at positions 28 to 507 of the family's 1533-position model. The record is from RNAcentral.